GGUGAGGGCACAGUUUGGGGUUUGGGGCGGUCAGGGCUGCGGGGCCCGAUGGCUGGUCCAGCCCCUCGUGUGCCUGCCCAGGCUCCCCGUUCCGGGAUGAGAUCACACUGGCCAUCCUGCAGCUUCAGGAGAACAACCGGCUGGAGAUCCUGAAGCGCAAGUGGUGGGAGGGGGGCCGGUGCCCCAAGGAGGAGGACCAUCGAGCUAAAGGUUUGGGCAUGGAGAACAUUGGUGGCAUUUUUGUCGUGCUCAUCUGUGGCCUCAUCAUUGCUGUCUUCGUGGCGGUCAUGGAAUUCAUAUGGUCCACACGGAGGUCAGCUGAGUCCGAGGAGGUGUCGGUGUGCCAGGAGAUGCUGCAGGAGCUGCGCCACGCCGUUUCUUGCCGCAAG
RNAcentral lists this small RNA (389 nucleotides) under Pan troglodytes (chimpanzee). RNAcentral describes it as "retained intron". Lineage: Eukaryota; Metazoa; Chordata; Mammalia; Primates; Hominidae. The record is from RNAcentral.